Molecule: ribosomal RNA, 95 nt
Filed under: Caerostris darwini
Lineage: Eukaryota; Metazoa; Arthropoda; Arachnida; Araneae; Araneidae
Source: RNAcentral
AAAUAUACCAGUUCUCGUUAGAUCACCGAAGUCAAGCAUCAUCGGGCGCGGUCAGUACUUGGGUGGGUGACCACCUGGGAACACCGCGUGCCGUU